UCCUUGAGUCAUUGUCAACUGAGAGGCGC
Molecule: non-coding RNA, 29 nt
Filed under: Rattus norvegicus (Norway rat)
Lineage: Eukaryota; Metazoa; Chordata; Mammalia; Rodentia; Muridae
Source: RNAcentral